RNAcentral lists this ribosomal RNA (442 nucleotides) under uncultured bacterium. RNAcentral describes it as "partial 16S ribosomal RNA". It matches the Rfam family "Bacterial small subunit ribosomal RNA", at positions 338 to 795 of the family's 1533-position model. The record is from RNAcentral.
CCUACGGGAGGCAGCAGUAGGGAAUCUUUCACAAUGGGCGAAAGCCUGAUGGAGCAACGCCGCGUGCAGGAUGAAGGCCUUCGGGUUGUAAACUGCUUUUAUAAGCGAGAAAUAUGAUGGUAACUUAUGAAUAAGGAUCGGCUAACUACGUGCCAGCAGCCGCGGUCAUACGUAGGAUCCGAGCAUUAUCCGGAGUGACUGGGUGUAAAGAGUUGCGUAGGUGGCAUAAUAAGUAGCUAGCGAAAUCUGGUGGCUCAACCAUUCAGACUAUUAGCUAAACUGUUAAGCUCGAGACCGUUAGGGGUAACUGUAAUUUCUAGUGUAGGAGUGAAAUCCGUAGAUAUUAGAAGGAACACCAAUAGCGUAGGCAGGUUGCUGGGACGGUUCUGACACUAAGGCACGAAAGCGUAGGGAGCAAACGGGAUUAGAUACCCUAGUAGUC